Molecule: ribosomal RNA, 449 nt
Filed under: uncultured bacterium
Lineage: Bacteria
Description: partial 16S ribosomal RNA
Rfam family: Bacterial small subunit ribosomal RNA
Source: RNAcentral
AACGAACGCUGGCGGCAUGCCUAACACAUGCAAGUCGAACGAGAUCUUCGGGUCUAGUGGCGCACGGGUGCGUAACGCGUGGGAAUCUGCCCCUUGGAUCGGAAGAACAGUUGGAAACGACUGCUAAUACCGGAUGAUGACGAAAGUCCAAAGAUUUAUCGCCAGAGGAUGAGCCCGCGUAGGAUUUGCUAGUUGGUGUGGUAAAGGCGCACCAAGGCGACGAUCCUUAGCUGGUCUGAGAGGCUGAUCAGCACCACUGGGACUGAGACACGGCCCGGACUCGUACGGGAGGCAGCAGUGGGGAAUAUUGGACAAUGGGAGAAAGCCUGAUCCAGCAAUGCCGCGUGAGUGAUGAAGGCCUUAGGGUUGUAAAGCUCUUUUACCCGGGAUGAUAAUGACAGUACCGGGAGAAUAAGCUCCGGCUAACUCCGUGCCAGCCGCCGCCGUAA